This 253-nucleotide ribosomal RNA is filed under the name uncultured bacterium. Its description in RNAcentral is "partial 16S ribosomal RNA". It matches the Rfam family "Bacterial small subunit ribosomal RNA", at positions 524 to 776 of the family's 1533-position model. The record is from RNAcentral.
UACGUAGGGUGCAAGCGUUGUCCGGAAUUAUUGGGCGUAAAGAGCUUGUAGGCGGUUUGUCGCGUCUGCCGUGAAAAUCCGGGGCUCAACCCCGGACUUGCGGUGGGUACGGACAGACUAGAGUGUGGUAGGGGAGAUCGGAAUUCCUGGUGUAGCGGUGAAAUGCGCAGAUAUCAGGAGGAACACCGGUGGCGAAGGCGGAUCUCUGGGCCAUUACUGGCGCUGAGGAGCGAAAGCGUGGGGAGCGAACAGG